GAGGAAAAUAGAAGAGAAAGAGAAAGAGUACAACAGCUUGAGACAGAUAUUACUAAUAGAAGAAUUGCUCUUGAUCAGCAGCAUGCAACAAUGCUAGCUAAUGAGGCUUUUUCAAGGGCACAUCCAACAAUAAUCUUGCCACCACCACGUCCGCCUCCAUCUAACUGUGUGAUUCUUUGACAUUGUUAUAUUUUAGUUGAUUGCAAUUAUUAUUAUAAUAGCUGUUAGUGUAUUUUUUGUAGCUAAACUAGCUAUAGCUAUUGACAUCUAGCAGUACUUUUAUGUUAUAGCAGCUGUCGUAUUGUUUUUGUCAUUUAAUUUUGUGUAUGAUUUGUUUAUACCAUU
This is a long non-coding RNA of Amphimedon queenslandica, 345 nucleotides long. RefSeq lists it as uncharacterized. The record is from RefSeq and is a predicted model, not a curated record. NCBI's taxonomy places the organism in Eukaryota, Metazoa, Porifera, Demospongiae, Haplosclerida, Niphatidae. The transcript is spliced from 2 exons.